AUUGAACGCUGGCGGCAUGCCUUACACAUGCAAGUCGAACGGCAGCACGGGUGCUUGCACCUGGUGGCGAGUGGCGAACGGGUGAGUAUUAAAUGGGAACAUGCCCGGUAGGGGGGGAAGGCCGGGCGAAAGCCGGAUAAAUACCCCAUCCGAUCUACGGAGAAAACCGGGGGCCUUCCGGCCCCGCGCCUUAGGGGUUGGCGAUGGCUGAUUAGCUAGUUGGUGGGGUAAAGGCCUACCAAGGCGACGAUCAGUAGCUGGUCUGAGAGGACGACCAGCCACACUGGGACUGAGACACGGCCCAGACUCCUACGGGAGGCAGCAGUGGGGAAUUUUGGACAAUGGGCGAAAGCCUGAUCCAGCAAUGCCGCGUGUGUGAAGAAGGCCUUCGGGUUGUAAAGCACUUUUGUCCGGAAAGAAAUCCUUGGCCCUAAUACGGUCGGGGGAUGACGGUACCGGAAGAAUAAGCACCGGCUAACUACGUG
RNAcentral lists this ribosomal RNA (485 nucleotides) under uncultured bacterium. Its description in RNAcentral is "partial 16S ribosomal RNA". It matches the Rfam family "Bacterial small subunit ribosomal RNA", at positions 29 to 507 of the family's 1533-position model. The record is from RNAcentral.